GGUGUAGCUCAGUGGUAGAGCACAUGCUUAGCAUGUGUGAGGCUCUGGGUUUGAUCCCUAGAACCAUCA
This 69-nucleotide transfer RNA is filed under the name Cavia porcellus (domestic guinea pig). It matches the Rfam family "tRNA". From Rfam's summary of the family: Transfer RNA (tRNA) molecules are approximately 80 nucleotides in length. Their secondary structure includes four short double-helical elements and three loops (D, anti-codon, and T loops). The record is from Rfam by way of RNAcentral. Lineage: Eukaryota; Metazoa; Chordata; Mammalia; Rodentia; Caviidae.